GGAGAAAAGCAGGGGAUCGCAAGACCUUGCGCUUUUGGAGCGGCCGAUGCCUGAUUAGCUUGUUGGUGAGGUAAAAGCUCACCAAGGCUCCGAUCAGUAGCUGGUCUGAGAGGACGACCAGCCACACUGGGACUGAGACACGGCCCAGACUCCUACGGGAGGCAGCAGUGGGGAAUUUUGGACAAUGGGGGCAACCCUGAUCCAGCCAUGCCGCGUGAGUGAAGAAGGCCUUCGGGUUGUAAAGCUCUUUCAGCCGGAACGAAACGGUCACGGUCAAUACCCGUGACUACUGACGGUACCGGAAGAAGAAGCACCGGCUAACUACGUGCCAGCAGCCGCGGUAAUACGUAGGGUGCGAGCGUUAAUCGGAAUUACUGGGCGUAAAGCGUGCGCAGGCGGUUUUGUAAGUCAGAUGUGAAAUCCCCGGGCUUAACCUGGGAACUGCGUUUGAAACUACAAGGCUAG
This 465-nucleotide ribosomal RNA is filed under the name uncultured bacterium. Its description in RNAcentral is "bacterial SSU rRNA". It matches the Rfam family "Bacterial small subunit ribosomal RNA", at positions 198 to 644 of the family's 1533-position model. The record is from RNAcentral.